AGGUUCUGUUUUUAUUACUUAUUUUUCCUACACACCAAAAAGAUAGAAGGUUUAAUUCUAAUGUUGACACUGCCAAGUUUAGGAGAUUUGAAAUCAAGCCCGCAGGAUAUGAAGAAAUUCUUGUCGGUAGAAGUAUGAUAUGAUGACUAUCUAGACAAUAUAAGGUCAAAGUAAAUAACUGGAAACAGAGGGGAACAUUUUCAAAUACAUCCAAAACAUUAAGCUUGGUACCAUGUACUAUAGGAUACAUGUUUGUCCCUCCACUGCAGAGAUUUCACAUGCUUGUGAAAACACAAAAAUGCAUAUAUAGUAUAAAUAACUACAUAAAAUUAUGAGUCCUUAAUUUGUGGAGUAUGGAAAUGGAAUGGAUGCCAAUGUAUUGUUCAUA
This 388-nucleotide unclassified non-coding RNA is filed under the name Hevea brasiliensis (rubber tree). Lineage: Eukaryota; Viridiplantae; Streptophyta; Magnoliopsida; Malpighiales; Euphorbiaceae. The record is from RNAcentral.